This is a non-coding RNA of Podarcis muralis (Common wall lizard), 5683 nucleotides long. The record is from RefSeq and is a predicted model, not a curated record. NCBI's taxonomy places the organism in Eukaryota, Metazoa, Chordata, Lepidosauria, Squamata, Lacertidae.
UGGGUUUCACUUUUGCAAAAGGAGGGAGACUUUAUCCUCGUCCCCCCCCAAAAAAAACCCCUCAUUUUUUAAAAGGAAAGAAAAAGAAAUGCCCCGCACAGGAAGUUUUCAGAGAAGCUUUUGCACCCAAUGCUCAAUGCUGGCAGAGGCUCUACGGUUGUUUAAAAUAGGGGGGGGGGGUUUCCCUACCUGGAGAUGCCAGGAAUUGAACUUGCAGUGCGAAAGAGCUGCCCCUGGUUUUGCAUGGGGGGGGGGGCUUGUCUUGGGCUGGUGCAAGUUUGGGAGCUCACCUUUCCACAGGAGGGAUCAGAUCCUCAGCUGCCUGCCUUGGGAAAGAUGGAUUUGGAAAAGUCACAGCAUGAAAAAGAGCCUGCAUGCAAUUUUAUGGUUGGAAGUCCCUUGCUCUGUGGGGGAAAGAGAGAGACUUAGGAAAACAUCUAACAGCCCAAAUCGAGAGUUGGUUUUGUCUGAUAAGCACUUCAUGAAUACGAAUGCAAUAAUUCACAGGCAAGAGGUGAACUUGUGAGGUUACCCACAAAGUGAGACACUUUUUGCGGCAGGAAUUCCAAAAGGAUUUAUGAGGAGCAUUUCCUGAAGUGUCACAGUGUUGUGUUGCAACGUUCUUGGGAAUUUAAACACCAUCACUGGCAAAGUGGCAGGCAGUUGGGCCACCUGAUUGCAGUGUGCAUCCAGGGUGACAUGAAUCUCUCAACAGCAUUUUGGUAGAGAGCUUGAGAGUUGCUCCUGUUCAACAGGCAGGGCCCCUGAAUUCGAUGCUGAGGAUCCCCUUGAGGAGAUUGAUACCUGACAAAGAGCCCAGGCUUUCCAUGAUGCUGUAAACAUCACCAAAAAACAACACCACCUUCCUUCUGUCCUGAAUCUUCCAACAUUCAGAGUUUGUGAUGACUCUAGUUUCUAGUAUUACGACCAAGGUAGAAAAAGUUCCCUAUCUACUUUGUUGUUCUUGUGAGCUCGCCAGAGGCAUCCGACUCUCCUCUGUUAGAAAUGGGUUGCAGGGCAAGAUGAAUCUUUGGUCUGAUCUGUUCUUCCAUUCUGAUAAGACGAUGGCAACAACACAGAAGGGAUGCAUUUCAUAUGUGAAUUAGCCAACAGGCAGAACUUUCUGAUCUGCCAGGCAUCAAGUGCUUAGUAAUCAAAUAAUAAACAAAGGUAUGGGCACAUGUAUAUUUUUAGUCAGGCCAAAGAAAAAUUGCAUUAAAUAUUAGGAUGAACUGUUCUGAUAAUGUAAGCGGCAGCAGAAACGGCUGACUAACUAUGGAAUAAAUUUGUCAGUUUAAAUUCUAAGCCAGAACACUUUUGGUAGAGAAUAUUUUUAUUACUAAUAGUACAACUAUUGUUAUUAUUUGGACAUUAAUUUAGUAGCUGAGGAUACUGUGCAGUUGUUUGAGCAGUUAUUAAACAAAGUGACAUAUAGGAUUAAUACUGUGAAUUGUCAAGAUCCUGAGGAUUCUGCAUCUUAAAUUGCAUAGGCAGAGACAGACUGUAUUUAGCACAGAGAGUAGUGAAUAGAACUGUCCUUGAACCUGGUGAGAUCUGGGUUCAACUCUGGACUGGGCCAUGAAACUCACUGGAUGGCCUUGGGCCAGUCACUGUCUCUCAGCCUAGCCAACCUCCUGAAGGCAAAAUUAGUUCACUCUUUGCAGAUAUGCCGCCUUCGACUCUUUUCCAGCUAUGUAAUAAAUGCAUAUGCAGUUCAAUCUUGUGCAUGUCUAUUCAGAACAAAUCCUCCCUAAACUCCAUGUGGAUUUCUCCCAGAUGCCUGUGUGUAGAAAAGCAAUCUUAAUUAAUUAAAGGAAUAAAUUGCACUUUUCUUUCCUCCGGAACCAUCAGUAGACUUUUGGCUUCUGUUCUGCACAUUAGGUGGCAAACCUCUCUCAAUUAUUGAUUCAUUUAUAUGGAUCUAUAGCACACAGACCAUGCAAUUCCAGGUCAGGUUAUAUGCAGUUUAAUAUAGCAAAUAUUGUUUGCCUAAUGCAAACAAACCAGGACUUCACAACAUCUGGUUUUGAACUACAACUCCUGUUCACCCUAACCAGUGUAGUCGUUGGUCAGGGAUGAUGGGAGCUAUAUCUUCUCAGCUUAGAGAAGACUGCACUAAAACACAAAACAAAAUGUGUAAAACAGCAAAACCAAACCAGCAAUGAUACUGCAGAAUUAGUGCUGGUGGAUAAUUCUGAUCUUAUCCCAACUCCCUAAAAGAAGGCCUGCGCAAAAAAAGGAUUGUCUUGAAUCACCACCAAUACAUGCACAAUUAUGGGGCCAGGCACACCUUGAAGGGGAGGGCUUUCCACUGCAAAGGAGGUCCUCUCAUGAACCACCACCCCAUGAACUUCACAGCAUGGCAGAUCUAACAGCAGUGCCUCUCCUGCAGGCAAGUCUAUAUGGGAAAGUCAGUUGCUAUAUUGUACUAUUCACUGAGAGCCAGUACAAAGGCAAAAUGCACUGGUAAAUAACUAAUUUUAUUGAAGGAUCACUUUGUGAGGGGGGUCAAGAACAUUUUCCCAUCUGAGAGCCACACUGCCUCCUGGGCAACCUUCAGAGGGCCACAUGUCAAUGGUAGGUGUGGCUAGAGGCAAAAACAAGCUGAGCAUUAAAUGUGAAUGUUACCUUUGUACAGUAGCCUAUUUCUACACACACACAUCCCUCUGCAUCCUCCACACAGACAAGCAAGAAGCAUUGUUAGAGUUCAAGGUCAAAUCCCAGCCAGACAAAGAAGAUUGUGACUUGGAGAAGGUGUGUGGCUUAGAUAAAUCCACUACGCUAAGGCUGAGGUUCCCACUCUUAGGAUAGGAGGUAACACACUAGGGUCAUCACAUUAUUACUGUUUCCGUUCUAUUGUGUUGGCAGAAGGCAGCCAGCUGGCACUCAGUUUGCCUUGGAGUGUUCCACUGCUGAUCCCUAUUCCAAAAUAUUUGACCAAAAUGUUUCUAAAACUAUGAAACCAGAAGAUGCAAGGCUCUGAUAAGAAUACACUUUGAGACGCAAGAGGUUUAGGAAAUGGUGCUAUUCUAGUUUCAACAUAUAUAUUGUAGGGCAUCCAACAGGAAAUAGUCUCCCCCGACCCCCAGUCCCAGACCACAUUCGUAUUUUUAUUUUAUUUUUAUACCACACUUUCCCCCAUGGGAGCCCAUGUGCUGAGCUGCAUAAAAAGCCAAUCUAUGCAAUAAAAACUUACUUAAAAUACAUCCUUUAAAACUUAAUACAAAUAAUACCAGCAACUGAGAUUAUGAUAGACCAGAAUUCCCCAGCCUGUUUUCUGGAUGUUUGCUGCUGCAAAACUCCCACCAGAUCCAGCCAGACCCAACCCAACGACUUCCCAAUGUUUUGGUUUACAUCUUCCAUCAGCCUCAGUCAUUGCAGCUGAACCCUAGGUUGGCAAAUGCUGCAAUACAGAAGAGAUAGAAAUUUGGGUAAACAAAAUAUGACCUCCAUCUGGCUGAGCACCAACAAUACAUGAGACGGACACACUAUCCUGGGGCGGGAGUUCCACAAAUGGGGUGUUGCCAUGGAGAAGACCAUGUCUUGAGUCACCACCCGAAAUGCCACCCUCAUCCGUGGCACCAACACAACUACUGAGCAACUCACAAAGUAUUUGAAAUUUAUAACAUAAGUUAGAUAGUUUGCCCUAUUCCACCAUUUUCUUGUAGGCAUUUCCAACGCAUAGUAAAGGAUUAAAACACCAAAGGUUCUUCCCAUGUUAUGAUCAUGUCUUUGAAUAAACAGAGGUCCUUCGUAGCUAAUCCUGCUAACUGGUAACUUUUUUCCACAAGUGAAAACCCUACUCCAAAAUUACAAGGAAUGUCAAUUCAAUGCUGUACAAUUUUUCCUUAGGGCUCACUUAUUUAAAACAUUUUUAUCUCCCACAAGGCAAAUAAAGGGUCCCAGAGUGACUUGCAAAUGUCAGUGAUAAGAGACUCAAUUCCCAGAGGCUUCCAGUCUAAACAACAUGACAGAAAAGAUACGGGACUGGGGGAACCAGAGAACUAUUUCUUAGUUACAGAGUUCUCAUAAUGACCUUCUGGGAUGGAAAUAAUUUAAGGAGAGGAGCAGCCAAAAGUUCCUGGUCUUUCAGCAGAGCUAACCUGAAAUCCCAUCUCUCUCCCUCUCCUUUAGCCUGAAGAAAUGGCUACUGAUGAUAGCUGGGGGAGGAACCUGAGAGACAGGUUCAACAAUGCAUCCGGUCUAAUUUUUGCUCAGUGAGGGUCAUGUCCUUGUAAAGAUGCACAGGAUAGGAUCUCCGGCUGGCAAUUAUGUCAUGCAGGCCAUCAUUGGACAACAUGGGAAAUGUCUCCUCUUGGAGAUUAGGCAGGAACUGAGUUUUUGGUGCUUCCAGUGUGCUGUAAAAACUUAGCUAUUUGGCUCAGGCAUUUCCAGACUGUACGGCCAGUUUUCAGCACCCUGACUGCUGUAACUGAUAAUAUUUUACUGAUAUGGUUUUUACAGAUAGGUUUAAGAUUUGUUCUUAUAUUAUGUGUCUGGCUUGGGGAGGGUUUUUUGUUUUUGUUUUUCGCUUGUAAACCACUUGGGUACUCUCUAGAGUAAAAGAUGGUAUAGAAAUAGUAAAUACAGAAAAAAAAGUUAUUCUGGCAAUAUCUAUCUGCUAUCAUAAGCAAAUUUUCGAAGUCCAUCUAGACCUUUAAAAAAAAAAGUUUACUAUUAAAAUGACAUGCAAAUCCAGAUCAUAAUUUUUAACUGGAUGUUUAAAAUGUUUGCAUCGUUUUUAGAAAUGAAGCUCAUUUCAUGGUUUUUACACUUUUUUAUUUAUGGUUUUCACUGUUUAUAAUUGUGUAUUUUUAAGUUUUAUAAACAAACUUCAUUAAAUCUCAUGUAUACGCAGUCAAUAACUACAAAAGAUAAACUCCAUAUAAUAAAUACAUUAUAAAUGUUAUAGUUAAUGUUAUAUCACAUAGAAAAAACUGCCGUUCAAAAUUUAUGUUAUAUUUAUUUUUCAUAAAUUCAAUAAGGUUUCAUUUAUCUCUCAUAUUUUCUCUUUCUUGUGUGCCUUCUUUUACUCUAAUCAAUUUCAUAAGCUCAAACAUUGUUACCCCCACAAAUUUUUGGUCAACCACUCUUUCACUGUUGGUGGUAACCUAUUUUUCCUUUUUUGUGUGCAGCUAGCAUGCAAGGAAGUACUAUUAAAUUCCAUAUUAAAUCCUUAUGGUUUAUUUGUGUCUCUAAAUGCCUUAAUAAAAUUAUCAGGGGUCCAAUGGUAAAAUGUAAGAUGUUAUUAAUGAUAUUAUCUUUACUACUUCUCCCCAAAUGAUUUAAACUAUUGCACAGGUCCACCAAAUAUGUCCCAUAUCCUUUUUUAAAUAUCCACUUCGCCAGUCCUUUCCAUCACACAUUUUAAUGCUUAUAUUGUUUUGAUAUUUGGAACUGUUUUUAAUUGUUUUUAUGCCGUUGUUUUAUGGUUGUAAACGUUUCAUAAAUGUAUAUUUUAUUGUAACCCAUACUGGGACCUUAUGGUAAAGGGUGGAGAAGAGAUGUUAAAUGUUUUAAAUUAUUUGAAAUUUGCAAUUAUUUAACAUAAUUUUAUUCUUUUUCUUGGCAAGGCUCCCGUGUCUUUAACAGCAACUUGACAGGGAGACAAGAGAAACGUUUCCUGGAGUGAUGGACAAAAGCAGAAACAGUAAAAUAAAAAAAAAUAAUGUUAACAACCCUA